This 372-nucleotide ribosomal RNA is filed under the name uncultured bacterium. RNAcentral's name for it is "bacterial SSU rRNA". It matches the Rfam family "Bacterial small subunit ribosomal RNA", at positions 524 to 898 of the family's 1533-position model. The record is from RNAcentral.
UACGGAGGAUCCAAGCGUUAUCCGGAUUUAUUGGGUUUAAAGGGUGCGCAGGCGGAUUGGUAAGUCAGUGGUGAAAUCCUCUCGCUCAACGAGAGAACUGCCAUUGAUACUAUCAGUCUUGAGUACAUUUGAAGUGGGCGGAAUGUGUCAUGUAGCGGUGAAAUGCUUAGAGAUGACACAGAACACCGAUAGCGAAGGCAGCUCACUAAACUGUAACUGACGCUCAUGCACGAAAGCGUGGGGAUCAAACAGGAUUAGAUACCCUGGUAGUCUACGCCGUAAACGAUGAUUACUCGAUGUGUGCGAUACACAGUACGCGUCUAAGGGAAACCGAUAAGUAAUCCACCUGGGGAGUACGUUCGCAAGAAUGAA